This is a long non-coding RNA of Erigeron canadensis, 1121 nucleotides long. RefSeq lists it as uncharacterized. NCBI's taxonomy places the organism in Eukaryota, Viridiplantae, Streptophyta, Magnoliopsida, Asterales, Asteraceae. The transcript has 7 exons. The record is from RefSeq and is a predicted model, not a curated record.
AUGGUUACAAUUUUACAAACACAGAUAGUCAGAUACAAAUUUCUCCUAUCUCUCUCUCCGUUCAUUGAAGUUGUAUUUGCCCUUCUCUUCCUGCAUGGAUGAAGGAGUCUUUGGUGGUUCAGUUUUGCUGUCUUGAAUCUGUGAGUCUCAAGCUUGUAUACUCUAAUAACACAAUUGUGGGAAGCUUUGAAGUGUCAAUCCAUUUGACAGAGAUGCUAAUCAUGUCAUGUAAUUGCUUCUAGAUGGAUAUCCACUUUGUUGAAAUUCAAGCAUACAAAGCAAAGAUAAAUUUUGUGGAACUACAUAUUAUGGUGCUUACAACAGGGACAAUUCAAAAAACUCACCUCUGUGUCCAAUUCAAUCGUGUCCCACAAACGAUUACUUCGAUCAAUGUUGGAACCCCGAAGAAAGGUACAAGAAAAGGAGUUUUUGUUGGAGGUAAUAUAGGGGUACGUUUUACCUUCGAGGAGUGUAAAAUGUGAAACAAGCUGUGUACAUGUCUGUUACAUCAAAACUGUGGUUUUAGAAUGCCUAAGAGUAGUGUUGUCGGCUCGUGUUUAGAUUGUUUUCUACAAAAAAUGGGGUACUUUAUAGCAAUGUAUAUGGUGUGACUACAACCUAUAUGGUGUGCCAAAGUACGAGGUAGCUCGUAGCCUUACACUAUUACCAAGUCAGAUGGUUGAGCCCUGAGUUUGCUUCAGUAUGCAUUUUGGUGAAUAUCACCUGGUUAGGAACAAUUCUAAGCACUUUGCGUUGUACUGCAAGACUCGGUUGCUGGCAAAAAGAUAUGAUGAUUUGAAGAAACGGCCAAGCUUCUUCUCCCGAUAUGCUGGUGAUAUUGGAGCCAGAACUGAUGUUUUUAAAGUAGAUGUGGAAGAUUUGAUUGUGAACUAUAGCAGCUGGAUGGAUAAUGAUGAUGAUGAUGAUGGUCUGCAACAAGAAUCUCAGGAAAAUGAAGCUACAAGCUAGACAGUAUAAUCAGGUAGCUCAUAUUGAGUAACUGAACAUUUACUACAUUUGCUCCUAGGAAUUUACUUGUUCUUGUUAAUCUGAGAACAUAUCAUCUCUUGUGAUAUAUGAAGUCGAAACCGUUAAAAGAUUAAAUAAGAGAAUUUUUGCUA